GAGACGCUAGUAAAACUAGUUAUUACAUUGCCUUGUCAAGGCAACAGCGUGGGUGGGAUUCCCGCGCGUCUUA
This 73-nucleotide transfer RNA is filed under the name Datnioides polota (four-banded tigerfish). RNAcentral describes it as "tRNA-Asp". It matches the Rfam family "tRNA". Rfam says of the family: Transfer RNA (tRNA) molecules are approximately 80 nucleotides in length. Their secondary structure includes four short double-helical elements and three loops (D, anti-codon, and T loops). The record is from RNAcentral. Lineage: Eukaryota; Metazoa; Chordata; Actinopteri; Lobotiformes; Datnioididae.